This 67-nucleotide transfer RNA is filed under the name Lentula callani. RNAcentral describes it as "tRNA-Gly". Lineage: Eukaryota; Metazoa; Arthropoda; Insecta; Orthoptera; Lentulidae. The record is from RNAcentral.
AUUUUUCUAAUAUAAAAAGUAUAAUUAACUUCCAAUUAAUAAGUUUGAUAAUAAAUCAAGAAAAAUA